GACCGCUCCGGUGGCCUAGUGGUUAGAGCGUCCGCCUUGGAGUUAGAGCGUCCGGCUUGGAUGCGGGAUGUCGCGGUUUUGAGCCCCGGAUGAGUCA
Potamilus streckersoni is the source of this 97-nucleotide non-coding RNA. The record is from the annotation of a GenBank genome assembly. NCBI's taxonomy places the organism in Eukaryota, Metazoa, Mollusca, Bivalvia, Unionida, Unionidae.